This 518-nucleotide ribosomal RNA is filed under the name uncultured bacterium. RNAcentral describes it as "partial 16S ribosomal RNA". It matches the Rfam family "Bacterial small subunit ribosomal RNA", at positions 355 to 864 of the family's 1533-position model. The record is from RNAcentral.
UGGGGAAUAUUGCACAAUGGGCGCAAGCCUGAUGCAGCCAUGCCGCGUGUGUGAAGAAGGCCUUCGGGUUGUAAAGCACUUUCNGCGAGGAGGAAGGUGGUGAACUUAAUACGUUCAUCAAUUGACGUUACUCGCAGAAGAAGCACCGGCUAACUCCGUGCCAGCAGCCGCGGUAAUACGGAGGGUGCAAGCGUUAAUCGGAAUUACUGGGCGUAAAGCGCACGCAGGCGGUUUGUUAAGUCAGAUGUGAAAUCCCCGGGCUCAACCUGGGAACUGCAUUUGAAACUGGCAAGCUAGAGUCUCGUAGAGGGGGGUAGAAUUCCAGGUGUAGCGGUGAAAUGCGUAGAGAUCUGGNGGAAUACCGGUGGCGAAGGCGGCCCCCUGGACGAAGACUGACGCUCAGGUGCGAAAAGCGUGGGGAGCAAACAGGUUAGAUACCCUGGUAGUCCACGCUGUAAACGAUGUCGAUUUUGGAGGUUGUGCCCUUGAGGCGUGGCUUCCGGAGCUAACGCGUUAAA